This 465-nucleotide ribosomal RNA is filed under the name Vreelandella stevensii. RNAcentral's name for it is "partial 16S ribosomal RNA". It matches the Rfam family "Bacterial small subunit ribosomal RNA", at positions 338 to 795 of the family's 1533-position model. The record is from RNAcentral. Lineage: Bacteria; Pseudomonadati; Pseudomonadota; Gammaproteobacteria; Oceanospirillales; Halomonadaceae.
CCUACGGGUGGCAGCAGUGGGGAAUAUUGGACAAUGGGGGGAACCCUGAUCCAGCCAUGCCGCGUGUGUGAAGAAGGCCCUCGGGUUGUAAAGCACUUUCAGUGAGGAAGAACGCCUGGUGGUUAAUACCCACCAGGAAAGACAUCACUCACAGAAGAAGCACCGGCUAACUCCGUGCCAGCAGCCGCGGUAAUACGGAGGGUGCGAGCGUUAAUCGGAAUUACUGGGCGUAAAGCGCGCGUAGGUGGCUUGAUAAGCCGGUUGUGAAAGCCCCGGGCUCAACCUGGGAACGGCAUCCGGAACUGUCAAGCUAGAGUGCAGGAGAGGAAGGUAGAAUUCCCGGUGUAGCGGUGAAAUGCGUAGAGAUCGGGAGGAAUACCAGUGGCGAAGGCGGCCUUCUGGACUGACACUGACACUGAGGUGCGAAAGCGUGGGUAGCAAACAGGAUUAGAUACCCCGGUAGUC